GGGAAACCUGAGGAAGAAGAAGAAGAAAAGGGCUCGAAUGAGAUGAAGAAGGGUUGAAGAAAGAGGCAACCAUGACAAAAGCUUAGUAUAAUCUGCACAUCUUUGAAUUUUAAUUCGGUUUCAGCAACAUAAGAGCAAUUAAAAGGUUAGAUUCUAUUGUUGACAUUGAGUGUACUCUGUGACAACGAUGUGGUUGCGAGUGUUGGGCUGGCCUCACUACGAGAAAGAUGAUGGAAGUGCUGGACGAGUCCCACUACAUCAUACAUCUAAUAAAUGUUGGUUGUAUUGGGCAUGUCCAACACAACAUAGAUUUGUCAUGUUAGUUAAAAUGUUUAAUAUACUUGAUAUUUUUUGCUAGGUUUUAAUGACCUACUUGUUGAGUAUUUGAGAAAGUUGUUAUCGUUGCACUUUUAUAUUCAACGCUUUGAUUAAACAGAUUUAUAUGUUUAAGGUUUAUCAUGUGCUCAGAUUUCCAUAUUAAUAAUUUUAAAUUUAGUCA
Cucumis melo (muskmelon) is the source of this 499-nucleotide long non-coding RNA. RefSeq lists it as uncharacterized. The transcript is spliced from 2 exons. The record is from RefSeq and is a predicted model, not a curated record. NCBI's taxonomy places the organism in Eukaryota, Viridiplantae, Streptophyta, Magnoliopsida, Cucurbitales, Cucurbitaceae.